GAUCAUAAAAAUCUGUGGCUUAUUCAAUACAACAUUUUACUUGAGAAACAUUCCCCCUGGGAUUUGCAGCUUGCAAAUGCUGUUGUCAGCCACGGUCUCAGUAUGAGCAGGGCAUGCUAGAGGGAUCAGUAAAUCCUGUGGAGUAGUUGAUGAACCAGCUGACAGGGAAUGCCCAGCCUGCUGUGCAGCAGCAUUUCUGCUGUCCUCUGUGUAAAACAAGAGCACAUAGGAAUGUUAGCACCAAAGCAGCAGAAUUGCUGAAACACUGAUCUUUCAGAGCAAGACUUCUCAUCUCAACACGCCCCAACACUAAGAUGCAGCUGGGCACCAGACUCUGGAGAUGGGCUGGACUCCACUGGCACUGAAAUGUAAAGACAGCACAGUCAAAAGAGAAGAGGCGAACUGAAAGCUAUCUCUGUAUAUAGACUGUCCAACAGCAAUGCAGAGUGGGCAAGGCACUGGAGGGCUGACAUUCCCCAUGAAGGAGAGAGCAUUCAAGCAUGCUAAAAAUAGAUCCUUCUUGAGAAUGAGGUUGGGCAGCUGCCUCCCUUACUGCCACCCCUUAUGAUAUAAAUGCUUCUCCCCAUACUCUGUGAUUACUGAAGAGCCUGAGAGGGCACAUGCAGUUUGAGUAGUUGAAUUAAGAAACAAUGACUAAAGAAUGCAAAUUUCUGACUCCUUGAAAAUGCCCGUGUAAUGUCUGAGUCUUAGUGACCAUUCAUCCUAUGGAAAUGAGCAUAAGAAUGUCUAUAUCAAGGUCUUCUUAGACCAAGAUCUUGACAUUGACAAAGAAGAGAUGCCCAAUUACAUGAACAUAGCAAGUGUAUAGUGAUGUUUGCUGAGAAUAUCCCCAUAGCCCUUCUGACUUGUUGCUUUUAGAUGUAAUAUAAAAUAAAUUCUUUUCUUCUAUUGAUGUGACCAUUUCCUGGAGUUGUGCAGAAUACAGCCGUGGUCAAGAAGUUAAACACUUUAUGUGCUACCCAGGUGCAAAACCUAAUGUAUUCUGUAGCAAAAGUUCUCCAUCUUGUGAUACAGUUAAAUAAAGACAAACACAGUUCUUCAAUUCUAUCAUGGAGAUUUGACUGAGAUUAAAAUGGAGACACUGUUUUUGUUAUUUCUCAGAAGGCCCAGUGAUUGCUGACACUAAAAGAGAUUUUUCCACUACACUGCAGGUAUAAUAAUGGCCCAUUGUACACAGGAGGGUCUUCAGUCACUGCUAGAAGUGGAGGUUUGUUCAGAUUCAUAGUUGAAGUACUUUUGGAAGCUCUUGCCCCAGAUAAUUUAGUGUUGAAGUUGUCACUACUGCAUCCUACAAUGCUUCUGUUCACCACAAAAUGCCGCAUCAGCGCUGGAGAAAAUGGCAAGUCCUCAGCUGAGAUGCCCAUGUGGAAGUCCUGCCAGAAUCUGUCCUGCAGCACAGGGCUUGUUAACAUGCCCAGGAAACAAUCCGCACAUUGAAUGGCUGCUUGGAUUGUUUGGGAACUGUUUGAGUGUCAUAGAAUACACUAAACAGUGGAUUAUCUGCAUAUCAAGGAAGUUUGGCACCUACAGAGUUUGGCUUCCACAUAAUGCAAAGCAUUCAGGCUGCUUCUAGCACAAGCCAAGGGCUCAGUGUGGUAGGCGUGAGGCAUACGCAGAGAUGAACCAGGACAGAGUACGGACUAGAUGCUGAAGGAAGGGGUUUGCCCUAAGACCGCUUCUAUGUAGAGAAGAAAAUGCUGGAAUGCUGUUUCUUGGGUUGUGAGUGUCACAUUUCAGGUGACAAGAAAGAGCCCUUUCCAGGCUUUGUGUAGUUUUGCGAGGGAGUGCAUGUACAUGUGAGAGCACAUGUGUCUGUGCAGCCAAAUACAGGGCUGCCUGCACACACUCUUGCAUCUCCUACAGCCUUGAGCCAAGUGCUCUCCCACUUUCCUGCUGCCUGCACUGUCAGCCAACGGAGAGCUCAGCAUCCUUGUGCCAGUGUGUCUGUGUUUUGCUCUGAACAGUGCACUGUCACCAUCCUUUUCUUUGGACAUCUGUUCUUUUCAUGUGAACCUGGAAAAUGUCCCAGAUGAAUAAGGCCUUUA
Molecule: long non-coding RNA, 2066 nt
Filed under: Gallus gallus (chicken)
Lineage: Eukaryota; Metazoa; Chordata; Aves; Galliformes; Phasianidae
Source: RNAcentral